This is a long non-coding RNA of Cyanistes caeruleus (blue tit), 3365 nucleotides long. RefSeq lists it as uncharacterized. The record is from RefSeq and is a predicted model, not a curated record. NCBI's taxonomy places the organism in Eukaryota, Metazoa, Chordata, Aves, Passeriformes, Paridae.
CCCGUGCUGUGUGGGGAUCCCGUGCCGUGUGGGGAAUCCGUGCUGGGCUGUGCCUGGGGUGGCCAGCUGCGCUGGUCGAGCUCCGGCGCGCUCUGAUGGGGAUCCGAGGGCGCUUCUCCCACACGAGAGCCAAGUGAAAGCCGGGAGAAGGUCAAAGGGGCGUUAGAGGGCCGUUCUGCCGUGCCCGCCGCUCCUCAGGGCCCAUGGCUGCUCCCUCCGCCCGCACCGUCCCCUGUCCAUCUUUUCCCUGUUCGAACCAAUUAUUGUAGUGUCUCUGGCAAAAUGGAACGCAGGUUGACUUAACAUCCAAACUUAAUACAGUAGUUCCCAAAAAUAACCGAACUACACUUGCCCUGACACCACCAAAAACGGCUAAGCAAAUAUGGAGCAUCCCUUGAACAGUGACACCAGAAAUUUGGAAAAUUGGCCCAUACAUAAUAAAAGAGGGGCUACAAUGUUCACAGAGGUGGUGUGGAGGCUACUGGCAAAGACAAACCCGUAAGCAGCUGAGCUGGGUAUUCCUGAAUGACCAUGGAAGUCCACAACCACACAGUGGCAUGGUAGGGACCCAUUGCAUAGGUUCCUAACUAUGAUGAAGUCCUGGGGCUCCUUCUCUCAGUUCUUCGAAGUUUUCAUUAGGAGUCUGGCAGCCCACUGGCACAUCAAGACACCUAUUGAAUCAGAAAUUUGGACACGUGUGUGCUGGCUCCUAGCAGGUGAGAGCCUAGAAGCAAGUACGUGUCAGGCCAUCAAGAGGGUUUUUCCCUGGGGCAAUAAUACCUGUUCCCCAAGGAAGAGUUCAGAAGCCACUAUGUUAAUUCCUUGCUUCCCAAGUGGGAAGAGAGACAGCUGCCCUCCCAUGCCAUGGCAGCUACUAAAUUUCAGAAGCCAGCAAGCCUGAGCUGCUGUCAGAGGGCAGACAUUUAGGAUGUAGUUCUCUCUCGCAGUCCGAAGAGGUUGUCCAUAUCAACGCUGGUCACACCACAGCCCUAAUGGAGAGAAAGGAAACCAGCCUUUCCUAGCAUGGAAAAGUCCUGCUAGCUCCCUCGCUAGCUCCCUCUUAACAUGCCCUACCAUUUGCUGCAAUUUGUCCUAUGUCCUUGGAGUAUCUUUCUGGCUCCCUACUGCCUACUGUGGGUGACUUUUCCUGCUCCCUUUCCCGUCUUUGACGAUUGUCCUGUCUUCAGUGACUAAUUCAAACCCAGACUAUUCAUAGCAAUUGGAGAUGAUCCUUCCAAAAAUACAGGCUGUGAAAAUUUGCUGAAGUUCAGGCAGAGAUUUACAAUGACAAAUGAUCCAUAGGUUAGGGUCUUCCCCAUGGUAGCCAGCAUACUGCCAGUAUCACAGCUCAUGACUGGGUAAACCUGCACCACCAGAAUUUCAGGAAAAGUUUGUUCACAUUCCAGGUGGGAUUCUGAGCAGGCACAAGGGCUUGCAGGACUAGGAUCUUAACGUUUGUCUAGUCAGAAACCUGCAUAAAUGGAUGAAAACACCCAGAGGCAUAAUUGGACUUGCUUCUAAUCUCUACCAGUAAUUUGCAGGAAGUAAAUUUAAAAUGUCAGUGCCUAACCUUUGAUAGCUUUUGUUUUGAUACACAUGCCAGAGAGAAACCCAUGCUUGUUGCUGCGUCAAAAUGUCAUAAGGUUCUGGGAACUAUGGCUUUUUGAAAGAUACCAAAUUUUGUGGGGUUUACAAUAAAAUUGCAAGAGUUGUUAACAUUGCAAUUUUUUUUUUAAAUAGAAGUAAUUGAAGUCCAUGGAGCUAAGAGUGUUAGAAUCAUGGAAUCAUAUGGGUGUCUUAGUUUUCAGCCCAACACAUAGUCCGCAACACAAGAGGUGGCACAUGAGAAAAGGAUUCUUUUAGAAAAUGUGAAUAUUGUCCAUUCCUACCAAACCUCUCGUCCUAUUGCUCAAUAACAGUGUCUUUAUGCUAAGGGUGAGGAGAAACUCAUGAAGGAAACCAGGCUUGCUGCUGCAGCAAAAAUAAAAUCCCUCUUCUAGGAAGAAUUACACAUAUGCUUAGUUUUAUCCAGGCUAUCAAUUUUAGUGAGUGGAACUACUCACAGUGGAUAUGGAGUUUGAAAUGUGCACCAGCCUGUACAGGACUGGGACCUGGCACUGCAGAGGAAAAAAAAAUGUAGUCAAUAGUUCUUAAAUUUCUGCUGUUCAACACUAAAUCAUCAGAGUCAUCACAUUUGGGAGAAACAUGCAUACAUUUGAGAAAGAACUCAGGGGUGUCUUUGAAAACAAGGGACAGCUGAGAUGUUUGCUUGGGAGACACUAUUUAAACGCAAGUAGAAUUGUUCCUCUUUUGUUGGAAGCUGAGCACAGCAUAAUGUGAUUUGUGAUUACAAUUCUUUGUGUCUGUGAAGUGACUGAAGAGACAGGCUAACUCUGAAACUUCACUGGACUUCUAAAUUCACUGAAAAGGAACUGGGACAGGGAACGGAUGUUUCUGAUUUUCAGACUAAAGCAUACCAUAAAGCAUACCACCUUUCUAGUUAUUUUUGAAGCAGCAUAAAAUGUCACAGUUUUUUCCACUCUUUGUCCUAAAGAGAAAAAUCUUGCCAGUGUUUUUUAAAGAAACUUUUUCUAUAGUUUCAUUAAUAAAAACACUUGCUCUUUAUUUCCUUGAGCUCAAUAAUUCAAAAGGGAAACAGGCAGGAAACACCAGUUUCCUCUAGGUAUUGCAGUACAAGUCUUACCACACACCUGUUUCAUUGUUAGGGGUAUCUGAUUUUCCAGUUGUAAUACCAAAUUUAUGAAAAGUUAGUGUAAAACCCUUGCACUGACUCUACAACCACUGGAGCUUUAGCUGGAGUGAAACCAGAGCAGAUGAAGCUGUCCUGUGUGGCUCCUGUUCUUACAGCCCUAUCCUCCAAGAAAUACCAAACCACUUGAAAUGGAGAAACUGCUUUUCAUCCAGUGGUAAGACUGGAAGCAAUUGGUAAACCUGCUGCUCCAUGACAAGCCUCCUGAUGUUGCUCUUGCUCAUGGCAUGAGCAGCAGUCAAGCUGGUAAUCUGGUGGCCAGUCAUUGUGUCAAAGCUCAUUAAGGGUGCUUGUGUGGCUUGUGCUGGGGCAAGUGCUUCACUCUGUGCUUACUCACCCCAGCGCUUGCUGCUGUUUCUUUUGUUGUGCCAUUAUUGCCUCCUCACUAUUGUCACAGAUUACCUUUAUUUCUGAACAAGGCUUGUGGUUUUACAGUGUGUUCCUGUAGGGCCCAUCUCCACAGAGCAGCGCCUUGACUGAGAUCAGUUAAUGAUAACCAAAAGCAGCAGGACUUUUAGCUUCACUCUGGAGUCAUGAAUUCUUCCUUGACAGAAAGGAUAAUGUACCAUGAAUAAAUUAUGUCAUUUAUCUUUGA